UAUCCGUUAGGCUACGACGACUUCACAAG
This 29-nucleotide small RNA is filed under the name Bombyx mori (domestic silkworm). RNAcentral describes it as "ovarian small RNA-6575". The record is from RNAcentral. Lineage: Eukaryota; Metazoa; Arthropoda; Insecta; Lepidoptera; Bombycidae.